Molecule: ribosomal RNA, 680 nt
Filed under: uncultured bacterium
Lineage: Bacteria
Description: bacterial SSU rRNA
Rfam family: Bacterial small subunit ribosomal RNA
Source: RNAcentral
UCAGAUUGAACGCUGGCGGCAGGCCUAACACAUGCAAGUCGAGCGGUAACAUUUCUAGCUUGCUAGAAGAUGACGAGCGGCGGACGGGUGAGUAAUACUUGGGGAUCUGCCUGAUGGCGGGGGACAACCACUGGAAACGGUGGCUAAUACCGCAUAAUGCCUACGGGCCAAAGUGUGGGACCUUCGGGCCACAUGCCAUCAGAUGAACCCAAGCGAGAUUAGCUAGUUGGUGAGGUAACGGCUCACCAAGGCGACGAUCUCUAGCUGGUCUGAGAGGAUGAUCAGCCACACUGGGACUGAGACACGGCCCAGACUCCUACGGGAGGCAGCAGUGGGGAAUAUUGGACAAUGGGCGCAAGCCUGAUCCAGCCAUGCCGCGUGUGUGAAGAAGGCCUUCGGGUUGUAAAGCACUUUCAGUGGUGAGGAAGGCGUUGUAGUUAAUAGCUGCAACGAUUGACGUUAGCCACAGAAGAAGCACCGGCUAACUCCGUGCCAGCAGCCGCGGUAAUACGGAGGGUGCGAGCGUUAAUCGGAAUUACUGGGCGUAAAGCGCACGUAGGCGGUUUGUUAAGCAAGAUGUGAAAGCCCAGGGCUCAACCUUGGAAUUGCAUUUUGAACUGGCAAGCUAGAGUUUUGAAGAGGGUGGUAGAAUUUCCAGUGUAGCGGUGAAAUGCGUAGAU